Molecule: ribosomal RNA, 599 nt
Filed under: Oscheius sp. MA-2015
Lineage: Eukaryota; Metazoa; Nematoda; Chromadorea; Rhabditida; Rhabditidae
Description: SSU rRNA
Rfam family: Eukaryotic small subunit ribosomal RNA
Source: RNAcentral
UCUUUAAUGGAUAACUGCGGUAAAUCUGGAGCUAAUACAUGUCACAAAACCUAGGCUCGCCUAGCUGCAGGUAUUAGUGCAAACCAUUCGUUUUCGGACGUAGUUUGUUGACUCUGAAUACCCAGUAUAUCGACGGUUUAUCCGUCGAAAGCUCGGAAUAGUGUCUGCCCUAUCAACUAGAUGGUAGUCUAUUAGACUACCAUGGUGAUAACGGGUAACGGAGAAUAACGGUUCGGCUCCGGAGAGGGAGCCUUAGAAACGGCUACCACAUCCAAGGAAGGCAGCAGGCGCGUUACUUAUCCACUACCACAGUGAGAUAGUGACUAAAAUUAAAAUGUCCAAUCCUAACGGAUGGGGAUAUUUCAAUGAAUUGAGCUCAAAUAGCUCUAUGAGGACCUAAUGGAGGGCAAGUCUGGGGCCAGCAGCCGCGGUAAUUCCAGCUCCAUUAGUGUACAUCGAUAUUGCUGCGGUUAAAAAGCUCGUAGUUUGAUCCUGGGUUGCAUGCGUUGAUACUCCUUUGGAGCUUAUCUUCGCUGCAGCUAAACUGCUGGUUAACUGCAGGUGUUUUCGGACCCUGUAGCGGCUAGCGAGAUUACUAA